CCCUGCCCCCUGCAGAGGUGACAGUCACCUCCCUCCCGCUGGAACAGCCCCUCACAUUCUCAGCGAGGCAGGACUUGGGUCGCAGACCUGGGUGGCCCUGGGCCUCCAGCAGCCCAUCGGGGUGGGGUCUGCAGGGCAUCCACGGGAGCCACAGGGCCUCUCCUCUCGGGACAUUCCGAAGUGCUGCUGUGCUUCUGACAGCCCGGACUCCUCUUCCACGCUGAGCCCUGCGAGCUCUUCCCCUCGGCCGACUGCUUCCAAGGAAAGCACCUGACCUGCAAAGUGAGCGCCAGUCAGGGCUGCGGGCAGAACACACAUGGCUACUUAUUCCAGAAUAUUGCCAUUCCUGCCAACUCUCUGUGUCCUUGGUCCCACGUUUGAUAAUUAGGUCACCACUCUACUAGGUAGGGGCUACCACGGAACCAGCGAUGACCCCAACAUUUCUGUAGAUGGCCUUGGGGGACGGGCAAUUCGGUCUGCGCAAGAGUUUGAAUGACAGUGAACAGCCCUCUACGUUGGCACAGGAAGACUCCCCCACCCCCGGGCUCGACACAGCCAUUAAUCUAGAAGCAACAACCCCGCUUCUCAGAGGCCUCUCACAUGCACGCCUGGAGAAGGCACUCAGGAAGUUAACGUCAGCAGGUUAAGUAGCUGCCUUGAAACGCUGCUGUGACUGGCACCCUGCUGACCUCCCUCACCCCUCCUUACAGUCUGUUUUAUUUCUCCUUCACUGUCUGGCACAACCCCCAGCACGGAAGCUCCAGGAACCGGCUUCACCUUCCUACUCCCGGCCUCGCGCGCGGCCUGGCACGACUUUUAGAGACUGCUGCAUUAUGAUCAGCUCCGUCAGAAGUCUCAGAACCUGUUUGCAGCUGGGCGGAGACUGCAGAGGGUGUUGGAGUUUGGACAGCACCGGAAGAGGAAUCUGGAGAUGUGUCUUAGCCUGGCUCUGACACUUGCUCUCAGUGGGUUUUUGAUGAAGCCACACUUCCUCUGUGAACUUUCUUUUUCUCAUCUGUGAAACCAGGGAUGGUAACUAAGAUGAUCCCUAAGACCUGAUGGACGCAGAAGAGUCUGGAACUUGCCUGGGCUAAGUGGGGGAGAGGAGAGCCCAUAAAGACCCAGGUUGACUGGGCUCAGCUUGGCAGUCCUUCUGCUGCACGUCUGCUGGAACUGCAGCCAUCUAGAAGCCGACGGGCCCGAGUGUCCAAGUCUGGCCAUUGGUGGGGAAAGCUGGGAGGCUGGGCUCAGGCAAGAUGGCUGAAUCUCUUUCCUCUCCUUGUAAUCUCAAGGCAUCUCCUUCUCCAGGUGGUUUCUCCACAGUCUAGACAGCAGGAUAGCUGGACUUAUUAUGUGGAGGCUUUCUUCCCUAAAGCGCAGAGCAGAAGUUUUCAGGCCUUAAAAAUUGGCCCAGAAUCAGCAUAUUUUCUCUUCUGCCACAUCCUAUUUAUUAAAAUGAGUCACAAGGCCAGUUCAGAUUCAAUGUGGGAGGAGACUACACAGGGCAUGAAUACUGGGACGCAUGGUUCAUUGGUGGGGGGGGGUAAUCUUUGGAAACCAAUUCAACACUGAUCAAUAAAUGUUUAUAUUAUUGGAACUCCAAGUAUGCUCCACUCCCUUAUCCCUUUUUAAAAAAUAUCAUCUUGUGUUGGAACAAGUAUUUGUUAACUAAAAAGUAUUUUGGAAUCAUGUGGUCACCACCCUAACCAUAGUCCUGUAGGACAGAAGUCAUGUAUCUGUUUCUCCUAUGUCACCCCUCAGGCCUAGGACAGGGCUCUGCAUACAGCAGGUAUGAAAUAAAGGCUGCAUAUUUUGUUGGAUGUUAAUAUUUCUA
This is a long non-coding RNA of Cynocephalus volans (Philippine flying lemur), 1834 nucleotides long. RefSeq lists it as uncharacterized. The transcript has 3 exons. The record is from RefSeq and is a predicted model, not a curated record. Lineage: Eukaryota; Metazoa; Chordata; Mammalia; Dermoptera; Cynocephalidae.